GCUUUUUGUAAUAACAAGACUGUCCCUGGAAAAUCGGGAUACUUGGAGGAAUGUUUGAAGCAUUCAGUCCAGCCACUCUACAAUAUUAACAGAUGCAGAGUCAGACAGAAAACCUAUUGAUCAAAAGUGAUAUAUCCAGAAGCAACAUACUGUUUACAGCAAUGACUGGACAUAUGCAUGCAGUUCAGUAUAUGAAUGCUUGCACACAUCUCAACAUAUGCACCAAAAGAACGAGAACACCUAGA
Podarcis muralis (Common wall lizard) is the source of this 245-nucleotide non-coding RNA. NCBI's taxonomy places the organism in Eukaryota, Metazoa, Chordata, Lepidosauria, Squamata, Lacertidae. The record is from RefSeq and is a predicted model, not a curated record.